This 295-nucleotide unclassified non-coding RNA is filed under the name uncultured fungus. Its description in RNAcentral is "partial contains 5.8S rRNA and ITS2". The stretch from base 1 to 52 matches the Rfam family "5.8S ribosomal RNA", at positions 103 to 154 of the family's 154-position model. Lineage: Eukaryota; Fungi. The record is from RNAcentral.
AACGCACAUUGCGCUUCCUGGUAUUCCGGGAAGCAUGCCUGUUUGAGUAUCAGUUUAACUCUCACCUAAAACUAGCUUAGUUAACUCUAGGUCUAGUCUUAAGUGGACUUGGGGGAUCUCUAAUUUUAUUAGAGUCGCCUUAAACUGAUUGUAAGCCGGAUUUAAUCCGAACUUGACGCGAUAAGUCUAACUUAAAUCGUCUAACUAAAGAUUAAAUCAGGUUUCCUAAUCAAAAUUCUAGAGGAAACUCUUGAUUCUUGAUCUCAAAUCAGGCAAGAUUACCCGCUGAACUUAA